This 249-nucleotide ribosomal RNA is filed under the name Triticum aestivum (bread wheat). RNAcentral describes it as "partial small subunit ribosomal RNA". The record is from RNAcentral. Lineage: Eukaryota; Viridiplantae; Streptophyta; Magnoliopsida; Poales; Poaceae.
AUGGUGGGCGUCAAUGGCAAUGUGAGAAAGUGCCUCACAUCUCAUGUCAUGUUGGUUUUAUGGGAGAUUUGAAAUGAGUGGAUUGCAAGAGUGUUUAGGAAGGUUCCCUCCAUGCGAAAUGUAAUCACGUCCAGAAUUAAGACGGAGGUUAGACUUUGGGGGUUGGCAGGGGCCAAACAUUUGAGUUCUCUCAUGCCGCGAGAGUAUGCUUAUCAGUUUGGGGCCGUUUAUGGGCUGUCGGUCAUGUAA